UGAGUAACCUGCCCUUAACUCUGGGAUAAGCCUGGGAAACUGGGUCUAAUACCGGAUAUGACUGCUGACCGCAUGGUCUGGUGGUGGAAAGAUUUAUCGUCUGGGGAUGGGCCCGCGGCCUAUCAGCUUGUUGGUGGGGUAGUGGCCUACCAAGGCGACGACGGGUAGCCGGCCUGAGAGGGUGACCGGCCACACUGGGACUGAGAUACGGCCCAGACUCCUACGGGAGGCAG
RNAcentral lists this ribosomal RNA (233 nucleotides) under uncultured bacterium. RNAcentral describes it as "partial 16S ribosomal RNA". It matches the Rfam family "Bacterial small subunit ribosomal RNA", at positions 118 to 351 of the family's 1533-position model. The record is from RNAcentral.